GCUGGUGGUUAAAGAGAAGUGGAAAUACCCAGCCCCAUUCCGAACCUGGUAGUCAAGCACUUCAUCGCCGAUAAUACUGCAGGGUCCCC
This 89-nucleotide ribosomal RNA is filed under the name Aliarcobacter cibarius. Lineage: Bacteria; Pseudomonadati; Campylobacterota; Epsilonproteobacteria; Campylobacterales; Arcobacteraceae. The record is from RNAcentral.